UACGGAGGGUGCAAGCGUUAUCCGGAUUCACUGGGUUUAAAGGGAGCGUAGGUGGGUUGGUAAGUCAGUGGUGAAAUCCCCGAGCUUAACUUGGGAACUGCCAUUGAUACUAUCAAUCUUGAAUUCUGUGGAGGUAAGCGGAAUAUAUCAUGUAGCGGUGAAAUGCUUAGAUAUGAUAUAGAACACCAAUAGCGAAGGCAGCUUACUACGCAGAUAUUGACACUGAGGCUCGAAAGCGUGGGGAUCAAACAGG
This 253-nucleotide ribosomal RNA is filed under the name uncultured bacterium. RNAcentral's name for it is "partial 16S ribosomal RNA". It matches the Rfam family "Bacterial small subunit ribosomal RNA", at positions 524 to 776 of the family's 1533-position model. The record is from RNAcentral.